GUCCGGGUAAUUAAAAUUUCCAAUAAUUAACGUGUUACCCCAAUUUGCAGCUUUCCCAAUUUGCUCUAACAGUUGUUCUUGCUUAUUAAGAUUUACAUUAGGUGGUUUAUAACAUAUCCCAACCAAUAAUUGAUUUCCCUUCGUCUGCCCCAAGCAAAUAUCUACCCAUAAAGCUUCCACAUUUUUCUCGUCACACUCCACAUGCUUAAGAUUUGACUUUAACUCAUGGUUCACAUACAAACAUACCCCACCACCCUUCUUGUUUUUUCUAUCCUUCCUAAAUAACGUGUACCCAUUUAAGUUAACUGCCCAGUCAUGUGUCUCUUCCCACCAUGUUUCUGUUAUGC
RNAcentral lists this long non-coding RNA (347 nucleotides) under Pelobates cultripes (western spadefoot toad). The record is from RNAcentral. Lineage: Eukaryota; Metazoa; Chordata; Amphibia; Anura; Pelobatidae.